This 682-nucleotide ribosomal RNA is filed under the name Pseudomonas marginalis. RNAcentral's name for it is "bacterial SSU rRNA". It matches the Rfam family "Bacterial small subunit ribosomal RNA", at positions 62 to 737 of the family's 1533-position model. The record is from RNAcentral. Lineage: Bacteria; Pseudomonadati; Pseudomonadota; Gammaproteobacteria; Pseudomonadales; Pseudomonadaceae.
UCGAGCGGUAGAGAGAAGCUUGCUUCUCUUGAGAGCGGCGGACGGGUGAGUAAUGCCUAGGAAUCUGCCUGGUAGUGGGGGAUAACGUUCGGAAACGGACGCUAAUACCGCAUACGUCCUACGGGAGAAAGCAGGGGACCUUCGGGCCUUGCGCUAUCAGAUGAGCCUAGGUCGGAUUAGCUAGUUGGUGGGGUAAUGGCUCACCAAGGCGACGAUCCGUAACUGGUCUGAGAGGAUGAUCAGUCACACUGGAACUGAGACACGGUCCAGACUCCUACGGGAGGCAGCAGUGGGGAAUAUUGGACAAUGGGCGAAAGCCUGAUCCAGCCAUGCCGCGUGUGUGAAGAAGGUCUUCGGAUUGUAAAGCACUUUAAGUUGGGAGGAAGGGCCAUUACCUAAUACGUGAUGGUUUUGACGUUACCGACAGAAUAAGCACCGGCUAACUCUGUGCCAGCAGCCGCGGUAAUACAGAGGGUGCAAGCGUUAAUCGGAAUUACUGGGCGUUAAGCGCGCGUAGGUGGUUUGUUAAGUUGGAUGUGAAAUCCCCGGGCUCAACCUGGGGAACUGCAUUCAAAACUGACUGACUUAAAGUAUGGUAGAGGGUGGUGGAAUUUCCUGUGUAGCGGUGAAAUGCGUAGAUUUAGGAAGGAACCCCAGUGGCGAAGGCGAACACCUGGACUGG